CAGAUAGCACACAUACAUCUGGCCGACGUCGGCCUGAGGACGACACAUCGGCCCUGAAUUUAUAACGUCUGACAAGCGUCGGCCGCAUGGGCGGAUAUCUUCAAAUUUAAUACUCUUUUGUCCCAGCUCAUCAAACGUCUCUGUUACGUCGGCUUUGGGUCGGCCCAGUGCCGUAGAAUGUCUGCCCACAUACGGAAGUCGCCACAGAGGCGGAAUUUCAUCUCCGCGGUGUUUGUUUGGAACUGAGCUCGCAGGACACAGCAUCUCAUCGCAGUUGGUUUCAGUUGACGUUAUCUGCUCAUCUGGUUAUCGUGAGCACUCGUUUUGGGUUAAAGUGGAAGUGCCCGGAGCUGCCACCCGUGGUCCCGCGGCCCCCCGGCCUGCCCUCCGGGGCCCUGGACGUGUGCUCAAGUGUCUGGGAGAGGAGCGGAGAGGAGCACGGAGGUCAGGCGGGGCGGGCCGACACUGUGUAUCCCAGAACGGGUGCUGAAGUGUCGGUGAGACCAGCAGAGAGGAGCGCGGAGGUGAAAUAGUGAAGUUUAAGGAUGCCUUCAGUAUGUUGUUAAUGUGAUUUUAUGGGCAAUUUAUCAGUCGAGGUCUCCUCCUCUGCAAAGCAAACUGACCCGGUGGCUACAGGUAAUAGCGCAGUUUUGAAGCCACUGUUUUUCCGAGAUGAAGGACUGAUUGUUGAGCUGCUGUUAACAGUUAACGGAGUUAACGGAUCCCGUUAUUUAACCGUUUCAACACUAAAUUAAGCAGAGUGAUGGACCCAAAGCCUUCAAUCUGGCUAAAAGACAGCUGAAAUGCUAAAAAAAACAAUACAGUGGUGAAGUUGGGAUUUGUUUCUUGAAGUUAUGUGCUCAUCGUCUUUUCUGUGUCUUGCAGGCUGCCAGGAGAAGCGGACUGGCCGUCAGAUAUUGUUUGUGGAAAUUUGAAAAUAAAGUUUGUCAAAUUGA
Molecule: long non-coding RNA, 956 nt
Organism: Epinephelus moara (kelp grouper)
Lineage: Eukaryota; Metazoa; Chordata; Actinopteri; Perciformes; Serranidae
Exons: 2
Source: RefSeq, a predicted model, not a curated record